RNAcentral lists this ribosomal RNA (253 nucleotides) under uncultured bacterium. RNAcentral describes it as "partial 16S ribosomal RNA". It matches the Rfam family "Bacterial small subunit ribosomal RNA", at positions 524 to 776 of the family's 1533-position model. The record is from RNAcentral.
UACGGAGGGUGCAAACGUUGCUCGGAAUCAUUGGGCGUAAAGCGUGUGUAGGCGGUCUGUUAAGUCGGGUGUGAAAGCCCUGGGCUCAACCCAGGAAGUGCAUUCGAAACUAGCAGACUUGAGUACGGGGGAGGGUCGCGGAAUUCCCGGUGUAGAGGUGAAAUUCGUAGAUAUUCGGAAGAACACCAGUGGCGAAGGCGGCUCACUGGACCGGUAUUGACGCUGAGGUGCGAAAGCGUGGGGAGCAAACAGG